Molecule: ribosomal RNA, 253 nt
Filed under: uncultured bacterium
Lineage: Bacteria
Description: partial 16S ribosomal RNA
Rfam family: Bacterial small subunit ribosomal RNA
Source: RNAcentral
UACAGAGGUGGCAAGCGUUGCUCGGAAUCACUGGGCGUAAAGCGCACGUAGGCGGCUUCUUAAGUCAGGGGUGAAAUCCUGGAGCUCAACUCCAGAACUGCCCUUGAUACUGAGGAGCUCGAGUCCGGAAGAGGUGAGUGGAACUGCGAGUGUAGAGGUGAAAUUCGUAGAUAUUCGCAAGAACACCAGUGGCGAAGGCGGCUCACUGGUCCGGUACUGACGCUGAGGUGCGAAAGCGUGGGGAGCAAACAGG